UCGUAGUUGGAUUCUGAUCUUUGCCAAUGGUUGUGUCGCCGCGUGCGAGGCGCCUUGCGCAGAGGUCAACAUAUGUCACGAGCCAGUGUGAUCUAUUCAUUUAGGUCCACUGGGUAAUGACUCGUUUACUUUGAGAAAAUUAGAGUGUUCAAAGCAGGCAUUUGCCUUGAAUAUGUUAGCAUGGAAUAAUAGCAUAGGACUUCGGUUCUAUUUGUUGGUUGUUCGAGAACUGGAGUAAUGAUUGAUAGGGACGGUUGGGGGCAUCCGUAUUCUCAAGCGAGAGGUGAAAUUCUUGGACCUUGGGAAGACGAACAGCUGCGAAAGCGUUUGCCUAGGACGUUCUCUUUAAUCAAGAACGAAAGUUGGGGGAUCGAAGACGAUCAGAUACCGUCGUAGUCUCAACUAUAAACUAUGCCCGGCUAGGGGAUCGGUGGGUCUUUGUCACGAG
Molecule: ribosomal RNA, 448 nt
Filed under: uncultured Polycystinea
Lineage: Eukaryota; Polycystinea
Description: bacterial SSU rRNA
Rfam family: Eukaryotic small subunit ribosomal RNA
Source: RNAcentral